This 370-nucleotide ribosomal RNA is filed under the name uncultured bacterium. RNAcentral describes it as "bacterial SSU rRNA". It matches the Rfam family "Bacterial small subunit ribosomal RNA", at positions 524 to 898 of the family's 1533-position model. The record is from RNAcentral.
UACGGAGGAUCCAAGCGUUAUCCGGAAUCAUUGGGUUUAAAGGGUCCGUAGGCGGUCUUGUAAGUCAGUGGUGAAAGCCCAUCGCUCAACGAUGGAACGGCCAUUGAUACUGCAGGACUUGAAUUACCAGGAAGCAGCUAGAAUAUGUAGUGUAGCGGUGAAAUGCUUAGAGAUUACAUGGAAUACCAAUUGCGAAGGCAGGUUGCUACUGGUGGAUUGACGCUGAUGGACGAAAGCGUGGGUAGCGAACAGGAUUAGAUACCCUGGUAGUCCACGCCGUAAACGAUGGAUACUAGCUGUUGGGGGCGACCUCAGUGGCUAAGCGAAAGUGAUAAGUAUCCCACCUGGGGAGUACGUUCGCAAGAAUGAA